This 74-nucleotide transfer RNA is filed under the name Blattabacterium sp. (Blattella germanica) str. Bge. RNAcentral's name for it is "tRNA-Ala (TGC) (tRNA-Ala-TGC-1-1)". It matches the Rfam family "tRNA". From Rfam's summary of the family: Transfer RNA (tRNA) molecules are approximately 80 nucleotides in length. Their secondary structure includes four short double-helical elements and three loops (D, anti-codon, and T loops). RNAcentral also lists the same sequence under 7 other names. The record is from RNAcentral. Lineage: Bacteria; Pseudomonadati; Bacteroidota; Flavobacteriia; Flavobacteriales; Blattabacteriaceae.
GGGGGAUUAGCUCAGCUGGCUAGAGCGCCUGCUUUGCACGCAGGAGGUCAUCGGUUCGACUCCGAUAUUCUCCA